GCCGGGCGUGGUGGCGCAUGCCUGUAAUCCCAGCUACCUGGGAGGCUGAGGCAGGAGAAUUGCUUGAACCCGGGAGGUAGAGAUUGCAGUGAGCUGAGAUCAUGCCACUACACUCCAGCCUGGGUGACAGGGUGAAACUCUGUCUCCA
RNAcentral lists this non-coding RNA (148 nucleotides) under Gorilla gorilla gorilla (western lowland gorilla). The record is from Rfam by way of RNAcentral. Lineage: Eukaryota; Metazoa; Chordata; Mammalia; Primates; Hominidae.